GUGGCAACAGAUGCAGCGCUCAAUUUACCGGCUGGUCUGGAGUCAGCACGCUCCACCAGGGCCGACGGUUACUCAGAUUACAGGGAGGCGGAGUGCACUGUUUCAAAAGCAGCAGUGACGGCAGCACAGAGAGCAGCAGAGCAGUCAUGAGGACCGAGUCGGCCUGCCCCUGGCUCACAUGGAGAGGACAGGCGCUGGAGAUAAGAGAAACGUUUGUGUGACACCAUUGCACACACAAGAGCGAGGGGAGGGUCCGCUGGUGCUGGGGCCUCCUGCAGCACGACAUGUUUACUCACCGCAGUGGACAGCCUGGAGGCGAGGGUCAUCUCAAGGUUGCCUUUCAGCCCGAGGAGUGCCGGCACCAGGAUGAAGACCUCACUCACCUCAGUGAACACCGUCCAAUGCUGGGGGUCAGGGUGUUCGGUUGGAGGGAGAGAGAGAGAGGGAGAGAGACCAUGGACAAUGAUGGAGGCACCAUUGAGGAUGCAGCAGGACUCUGACCUUCAGCAGUUCCUGCCUCUCCAUAUCGACUCAGGCGCUGUAACCGGAGCCGACCUCAGCUGGGGCCGAUGUUCUUAAAAGCCUCUGCUGAGCGGAGAGUCUUGAACGUCCUGUGCCUAACGACAUCACUGACCUCUUUCUCCAUCCACGAGAGUGAGUCACAUUAGGCAAGGUCCAGCCAGCCAGGCUGGUGGAAUAAUAUUGGAAAUCAUUUCUUAAUGACCUGCUUAAUGAAGACCUUAAUGACGAAAGAUAUUAACUUGAGCAAAGCCAGACGUGAGGCGCUUUAGCCGGGGGUUGAGGGACUAACAACACCUUUGCUUUGGCUACAAAAAAAACAGACUCAUUACACUGUGUCUGGCAGUGCUACAAAAUGGUCAGUCACAGCAACUGGUCAAGCAUUCAUUUUGAGCCUACUGUCAAAAAAUAAAAGCUUACGACUGCA
Molecule: long non-coding RNA, 946 nt
Organism: Alosa sapidissima (American shad)
Lineage: Eukaryota; Metazoa; Chordata; Actinopteri; Clupeiformes; Clupeidae
Exons: 3
Source: RefSeq, a predicted model, not a curated record